AAGGGCCAUCGCUCAACGGAUAAAAGCUACCCCGGGGAUAACAGGCUUAUCUCCCCCAAGAGUUCACAUCGACGGGGAGGUUUGGCACCUCGAUGUCGGCUCAUCGCAUCCUGGGGCUGUAGUCGGUCCCAAGGGUUGGGCUGUUCGCCCAUUAAAGCGGUACGCGAGCUGGGUUCAGAACGUCGUGAGACAGUUCGGUCCCUAUCCGUCGUGGGCGUAGGAAAUUUGAGAGGAGCUGUCCUUAGUACGAGAGGACCGGGAUGGACAUACCUCUGGUGUACCAGUUGUCGUGCCAACGGCAUAGCUGGGUAGCUAUGUGUGGACGGGAUAAGUGCUGAAAGCAUCUAAGCAUGAAGCCCCCCUCAAGAUGAGAUUUCCCAACUUCGGUUAUAAGAUCCCUCAAAGAUGAUGAGGUUAAUAGGUUCGAGGUGGAAGCAUGGUGACAUGU
RNAcentral lists this ribosomal RNA (448 nucleotides) under Staphylococcus aureus. RNAcentral describes it as "partial 23S ribosomal RNA". It matches the Rfam family "Bacterial large subunit ribosomal RNA", at positions 2437 to 2886 of the family's 2925-position model. The record is from RNAcentral. Lineage: Bacteria; Bacillati; Bacillota; Bacilli; Caryophanales; Staphylococcaceae.